This 119-nucleotide ribosomal RNA is filed under the name Pteropus alecto (black flying fox). Lineage: Eukaryota; Metazoa; Chordata; Mammalia; Chiroptera; Pteropodidae. The record is from RNAcentral.
GUCUAUGGCCAUGCCACCCUGAACAAGCCCAAUCCUGUCUGAUCUCGGAAGCUAAGAAGGGUCAGGUCUGCUUAGUUCUUGAAUGGGAGACCACCUAAGAAGACCCCGUGCUGUAUGCG